CGAGUUCAAUUCUAUUUCCUUGCAAAUUGUCAAUUUUUCCUAUUUUUACUCCCACUACUUUUAUGCCACCCAACCUAGUAAACCCUAGCAUUUAUACCAUUUUUUAAUUGAUUUUUCAUCUUUUUCCUAUGUCCAUCCACUACUCUUGCCGCUCCUCCCAUCUUCCUACUCCUUCUCUCAAAAAUUUUCUUCGUUUCUCUAGUAUUUCACCUUAGUUGUGUUGCCCCUUUGUUAAAGUCUUUACUAUUGUUUUUCAGUCACCUUUCUGGUUGUUUAAACCUUUUAAAAAAACCCAACUUUUUCCCUUAAACUCACCUUUAAGCCACCCUUAUUAGCCUCCCUUUGCUAUUC
This 351-nucleotide long non-coding RNA is filed under the name Gossypium barbadense (sea-island cotton). RNAcentral's name for it is "long non-coding RNA (GBAR_LNC016438)". The record is from RNAcentral. Lineage: Eukaryota; Viridiplantae; Streptophyta; Magnoliopsida; Malvales; Malvaceae.